AACGAACGCUGGCGGCGCGCUUAACACAUGCAAGUCGAACGAGAAGGCGUAGCAAUACGCUUGUACAGUGGCGAACGGGUGAGGAAUACAUGGGUAACCUACCCUCGAGUGGGGGAUAACCCGCCGAAAGGCGGGCUAAUACCGCGUACGCUUCCGAUCUUGCGGGAUUGGAAGGAAAGCUGUCCCUUGGGGAUGGCGCUCAAGGAUGGGCUCAUGUCCUAUCAGCUUGUUGGAGGGUAACGGCCUACCAAGGCAUCGACGGGUAGCUGGUCUGAGAGGACGAUCAGCCACACUGGCACUGCGACACGGGCCAGACUCCUACGGGAGGCAGCAGUGAGGAAUAUUGCGCAAUGGGCGAAAGCCUGACGCAGCGACGCCGCGUGGGGGAUGAAGGUCUUCGGAUUGUAAACCCCUUUCGGGAGGGAAGACGGCCUUAGACAACUAAGGCGGACGGUACCUCCAG
This 463-nucleotide ribosomal RNA is filed under the name uncultured bacterium. RNAcentral describes it as "bacterial SSU rRNA". It matches the Rfam family "Bacterial small subunit ribosomal RNA", at positions 29 to 484 of the family's 1533-position model. The record is from RNAcentral.